UACGUAGGGGGCAAGCGUUGUCCGGAUUUAUUGGGCGUAAAGAGCUCGUAGGUGGUUCGGUAAGUCGGAUGUGAAAUCUCCAGGCUCAACCUGGAGGGGUCAUUCGAUACUGUCGGGCUAGAGUGCGGAAGAGGCGAGUGGAAUUCCUGGUGUAGCGGUGAAAUGCGCAGAUAUCAGGAGGAACACCUAUUGCGAAGGCAGCUCGCUGGGACGUAACUGACGCUGAGACGCGAAAGCGUGGGGAGCAAACAGG
This 253-nucleotide ribosomal RNA is filed under the name uncultured bacterium. RNAcentral describes it as "partial 16S ribosomal RNA". It matches the Rfam family "Bacterial small subunit ribosomal RNA", at positions 524 to 776 of the family's 1533-position model. The record is from RNAcentral.